Non-coding RNA from Dipodomys ordii (Ord's kangaroo rat), 70 nucleotides. Lineage: Eukaryota; Metazoa; Chordata; Mammalia; Rodentia; Heteromyidae. The record is from Rfam.
GGUAAUGUGGCUUUGUGGUAGAGUGCUUGCCUAGCAUGCAUGAAGCCCUGGGUUCAAUUUCUCAAUACCA